UGGUGUGGUGUAGUGUGUGGUGUGUGGUGUGUAGUAGUGUGUGGUGUGGAGUAGUGUGUGGUGUGGUGUGGUGUUGUGUGGUGUAGUGUGUGGUGUAGUGUGUGGUGUGGUGUAGUGUGUGGAGUAGUGUGGUGUGGUGUAGUGUGGUGUGUGGUGUAGUGUGUGGAGUAGUGUGUGGUGUGUAGUGUGUGGUGUGGUGUAGUGUGUGGUGUAGUGUGUGGUGUGGUGUAGUGUGUGGUUUGGAGUAGUGUGUGGUGUGGUGUAGUGUGUGGUGUAGUGUGUAGUGUGUGGUGUGGUGUGGUGUGGAGUAGUGUG
This is a long non-coding RNA of Clupea harengus (Atlantic herring), 315 nucleotides long. The record is from Ensembl. NCBI's taxonomy places the organism in Eukaryota, Metazoa, Chordata, Actinopteri, Clupeiformes, Clupeidae.